Molecule: long non-coding RNA, 21186 nt
Filed under: Panax ginseng (ginseng)
Lineage: Eukaryota; Viridiplantae; Streptophyta; Magnoliopsida; Apiales; Araliaceae
Description: long non-coding RNA (PGIN_LNC016875)
Source: RNAcentral
AAUCAACAUAUCUUUCUCUAAAUUUUGAGUCUCAAAUGUUGAAUUUGUGAGUUGAAUAAAUUGUAUUUACAAUAAAGUGGUGAUAAACAAAAAAGAUUUUCAAAUUUUUAUACCUUCAAAUGCACUAAACGCCUUACAAAUUAGUAAGCGAACAAACACAGUUUCUUGUUUGCAUAAUCUUGAAAUGUGUGGAUACACAAGCAAUUUUAUUGAGUUUCUUUUUAACUUCCUUCUGAACUUUUAUGGCCGCUUUAGCGGCCGCUUUCUCUGCCAACUUUUUUUCAUUUCCAACGCCUACUUAGCUUAAUUUAGUCGUCUCCUACUCUCGCUUCAAUUCUUUCAAUUUCACCUUGUCAACUUCAUUUUUGUUUGGAAGAGGAAUUUCUUUCGGCUUUUCCAACUCAAAUAUUGCCUCUCUAUCUUUCAGUACUUUUGCAAGAGGAAUUUUUUUGGAUCGGAUUGUAGCUUGUAUCGUCCCCGUCAUGAUUUUGCAAGUAUAUUUUGACUCUCCUCUCAAAAGUUUCUGAUUCCGCCACUGCUUUUAAUGUAUGACAUUUAUACAGAUUAAUACACAAGUUUAAAAUUUAAUUAAUUGCAUCAUGUUAAAUAAAAUAAAAUAAAAAAUCUUUAUUAUUUUAUAAAUAGAACUUUUUUGUGAAAUGAAAAGAAUAUUACUGUAUUUGUGUACUUAAAAAAUUUCUCUCAUUAUGUGAAAAAACUGAUGGGCAAAGCGUUCAUAUAAAAUGAUAAAAUAAUUCUCUUAAAGUUAAAAUAUGAACAUGGGCUCAGAGGUUUUGGGCAACCAUGUAAUAAUAAUUAUUUAUAUAAAAUUUAUUAAUUUUAUUUUAAAUUUUUUAGAAUUUGACUCUAAAAAUCAAAAUUAGAGUUGAGGUGAUGGAAUAGUAAUGUACAUUGUUCUUCCCAAAAAAGAGGAUUAAGUUGAUUUUUCAAAGUCAAAUUAUUAUAUUUUUAAAUUUAAAAUUUGGUUUAAUUCAAUUAACUUUUAAAAACGAUAAAUUGUAUAAUUAGUAGUACUAUUUAAAUAAUUCAUAAUUUUUAUAAUUGUAUUUUCUAAAAUUAAAUUAAUUCAUAUUAAUUUUGCAUAUAAAAAUAUUUUAAAUUAAAUACUCCAUAUUAUUUAUGUGUGAUAAAUAUAAAUAAUAUGAAAUAUUUUAUUAAAUUAAAAAUUUACAUUAAUAAUUAUUAUCUUAAUUAAAAUGAAUGAAAUUAUUUAUAGUUUUAUUACAAUUUUUAUAAUACUAAUUAUUUAAAUUUAAACUACAUUUAUUUUACUUAUAUUAUAUUUUGCAACGGAGGAAUAUUAAUUUAAACUACAUUGCUUAAUUGUAGGCAACGGAGGAAUAUAUUGUUUUAUAUUAUAGGCAACGGAUGAAUAUAUUGUUUAAUUAUAGGCAACAGAUGAAUAUAUUGUUUAAUUAUAGGCAACAGAUGAAUAUUAAUUAAACUACAUUGUUUAACUAUAGGCAACGAAAGAAUAUAUUGUUUUUUACAUUGUUUUUGGCAACCGAGAAAUAUAUUGUUAAAUUAUACAAAUUGGGAUAUGUUGACUAAUAUAAGUCGAAAGUAGUUAAAUUAAUUUCAACUCAUAUUUGUAAUUUAUAAUAUGAGUUCAAAACUAAACCAACCUAUAACAUAAAAAAUAGUUAACCAACCCAAUUAGAUUCAAAUACUUUUAGUUAAUUAGAUGAUUUUCAACUUAAAUUGUCAAUCGUGUUAAGUCUGUAUGUAUUCAUUCCGCUUAAUAUAACAUUACACAGAACACCUCAGCUGUCAACAUACUAGUUAGGGUUCUGGGCAACUCCAACAGCACAAUCUUAGACUAUAUCACUACAAGAAAAGGGUUUAUCUUCGACGGAAGUAACUCCGACGGAAUACAUUCAGUCGAUCUUAUAGUGUUACCGACGGAAUAUUCUGUCGAACCUAAUUCGGUCAGAAAUAACAUAAAUGCGACCGAAUUCGGUCGAAAAUAUGUCUGAGUAAAGGCGCCAAAAAGCCCGCCAGCGCGAAUUAUUAUCUUGACAGAAUAUUAGUAAUUUCGACAGAAUGUUCGUCGACUUUACCGUAUCCUCGACAGAUAUAAUGUCGACGGAAUUCCGUCGAAAUUGUUAAAUAAAAACAGAUCUGCAGAUUCAUUUCAGUCGCUGCUCUCUGUCUCUCUGUCUCUCAGACGACUUCUCGCCUUCUCAGACGACCCAUCUCUACGCCACCUCCGACCACCACCUACGACACCUCAGACCACCACCGGUACCUGCGCCACCUUCGACACCUCAGACCACCACCGGUACCUGCGCCACCUCCAUUCCAAAACCGAUUUUCCACCACCUGCGACCACCACCUGCGACCACCACCUCUGACCACCAGCCUUUUAAAUUUCAGAACGAUUUGUCAUUAAGGUUAGGUUUAAUUUAUGUUUUAAUUUUUGAAUUUUGAUUGUGUUGUAUAUGUGUAAUUUUAGCUACUGAGUUGGGAAAUUAAUGGAAAUUAUUAUAAAUGCUUCGAAAAUUAGCUACUGAUUGUGCUGUAUUGUGGCUACUGAUUUAUGUUUUCAUGUAUUCAUGUAUUAAUGAAAUUGGCUACUGAUCAUUUGGGUAAUGAAAAUAUUGUGUACUGAUUUUAGGUUUUGGAAAUUUUGGGUACUAUAUGCUUAAUUGACUCAGUAGGACUGAUUUUGGGUAUUCUUGAAAUUGGCUACUCACUCAUAUGCUUAAUUGACUCAAUUAGGACUGAUUUUGGGACUGCCUUAAUUAUUUGGGAAUACUUUACUUAUGUUGUGUAUAUAUGAAUUAUGUUUGCAAUAUUAUGUCUUUAUCUUGCCUGAUUGUUCUUACUGAUUUGGUAUAUUUUCUAUUUCCGACAGAAUUCUCGACGAAAUUCUUAUCAGAAUUCUUCAAUUACAAUAUAUGUGGGCCUUGCUUUAUUUUCUUUUAAUUAGUUUCUAAUAUUAAAAUAUACUAAGUAACAUUUACUUAUUUUAAAAUAAAAUAAAAUAAAAAAUAUGAUAUAAUAUAAUACAACUUAUAUUUAAAUUAAUUAAAUUUAAUUAAUGUAAGAUAAUAAAAUUUAAAUAAAUUAAAUAUUAUAAUAUAAUAUAAUACAAAUAAAUAAUUUAAUUUAAAAUAAAAUAAAGUAAAAUGUGUGCGUACUGGGAUGAUGCUGCGUUCAAGACCAAGUCAGAGCAGAUGAAGAAGAAUCGAGGCAAGCUGCGAGUUGUACAUACUUCUCGCUCGCAGUCGUUUCAGGAGGUUAAAGCGGUAUGUAUUUAUCUUUAAUUUAGUUUAAUAUUAAACUGCAACUAUAGUAAUUUAAGUUGAUAUUAUUUAAUGUAUAUGAUUUAGGCCAUGCGGAGUAGCUUGGGUCGACCUCCUACUAUGAUGGAGUUCUGGGAUAGAGUCCAUACGCCGAAGAGCUCUACUUCGGGGUCGACGAUGUCUCCAGCAGCACUAGCUAUACGGGUAAUACAUUUACUAUAAUAAAUAUUAUUUAGGAUAAUAUAACGUAAUUUAUAUGAUGAUACCAAGAUAACUCACAUGUACAUAUAUCAAAUUACAGGAGCGGUUUGAGAAGAUCCGCAGCCAGCGUAUAGCGGAGUUGCAGGCUGCUCAGUGCCGGCCCUGAGUUUUUCAGGGCCUAAAGCGAAGAAAAAAAAAUUUGGACCCUUUGCGAAUUGCUAUUAAGAUAAGUAUAAAAAAAACUAAGAACUUUCUCUGAACAAAAGAGCAUAAAUACAAAAGAAUACCAAAUAUAAUAACCGACUAUUUCAAUAUUUUCAAAACAUCAUUCAGAUAUCGCAUUAUCACUAACUCAAAAAAGUAAUCAGUUCAAAGACAUAAUAUCAUCAACAGAGGGGUGGAUGAUAUCAUCAACAGCUCCUCUUGAAUAACACUCACUUAUAAUGGGAAAUUAUAAAUAAAGAAGCAUAAAAUUUUAUAGUUCAGGUAAUGGAAUGUAACAUUACUGAAUUUCAAAUAGUUUCACAGAUAUCAAUCAGGGGGUGACAUAUCCAAGCUAUGACAAGAGUUAACCUGUUUGGUUAUUCUUUAAAUAGUACCCAUGGUAGAUAGUGUAUAACUCAAAAUCUUCCCAGCAAGAGUUUACCUAUUUUCUUUUUAUUAUAUUGGCUAUAUUAUGACCUCAGUCUUUAACUGUCAAAUUUUAAUACCAAUAAGUAAAGUACGCAUGACCCAUAGUCUAUUAAUAGAGAUAAUCGUAAAGUCUGCACUAGCCAGAUUAAGAGAAAAAAUGGGAUUAUACAUAUUUGUAAAGAAACACAAGAAUGAGUAAAGACAUAAUUAUGAUGGACAAAUGCAUAGACUAACAAAGAUUGAAAUUAAUUGAGACAUAUUGAAGUAAUUAUUUUUUAAUUUAUGUGAACUGGUUGAUAUUUUUUUUAAAUGUACAUAUUAGAAUUUUUAAUAAUGUUGGAUCUAGUUUUACUUAUGUAAUAAUUUUAUUUGUCAAAAUUUUAAAUAUUUUAGAGAAUGAUUCUACAUAAUCAAUUAUACUCAUCCAUUAGAAUAAAAUUAGUCAUGCACUGAUUGUAUGAUAUAAGAAAAAGGGGCCCUAAAAAAUUUUGGGCCUAAAGCCUGGGCACCCUGGGCUUUAGCCCAGGGCCGGUGCUGAGGCUGCUAGGGACAAUGCUGAGACGUUAGAUUCCACCGUCCCUCCGCCCGAGAUUAGUUUAUCUCAGGACGAGGAGACGGCUCUUUGGGUCGCAUCUCAGGAUACUCCCACUAGUACUAGCGACCGGUAUCGAGUGCUGGGGUUACCGAGGAUACCAGCCUAUACACUGCAAGGAGGUAUAAUAUUUUUAGUUUAUUUCUUGUUUAUGAAUAAAGAAAAUUCGCCAUAUUAUUCAUGUUAUAUUUAUUUUUGUAUGCUUACUACAAGAAAAAUGGCCAUCUGCGACCAAUGAUAUCAGCGACCGCACUAUCUGGUCGCUGAUAAUAGUAAUAGUGACCGAUAUCUGUGACCGAUAAGGAUUCUCGUCGCUACUAUAUAUCAGCGACCGCAUGUGGUCGUUGAUCGGUCCCUGAGAAUAAUUUCCCUCCUAAAAUUUGGUGCGAAACUUUGGCGCGGCGACCAAUCUGUAUCAGCGACCGCUUGCAGUCCCUGCUAUGUCCACAUCAUUAAAAAUCAGCGACCGCGUGCAGUCGCUGAUGGCGGUCGCUGAUGCUCAUAAACUUAAUCAGGUUCAGUAGUUCGCUCGAUAUCUGCAAAAGAAAAAAAAAGAGGGAGAACAGACGAGAGGGAGAAGCGGGAGUAGGGGGAAAAGAGAAGAGGGGGUGCCGCCUUCACCACGAGCUAUUGUGCCAUUUUUUUCUACUUCUUCAUUACAAGUCCGAGUUGCACCAUUACAACCUCAAACGAAAGGUAAAAAAGUUCCAAAUCCUUAGUUUUGUAAUGUCCCCUCUAUAUAUAUCUUGUUCAAUUUAGGGUUUCUCCUUUAGGGUUUUGUUCAACUAUUGAUGUUGUAAUUGUUAUUGAUUCUGAUUUGGUUUUGUGAAUGAAGAUUUGGGUUUUUGUUAAUUUAUUAAUUAAUAUGGAAUUACUCAAUUAGUGAAUACUGUAUUUGUGAAUGUUUGAUGUUUUAAUAGUUGAGUUAUCUGCAAAUUGUCCUAAAAUAGAAAGCACACUGUUUAAUAUGUUGCUACAAUAGGUGAUUCUGUGUAUGGUGUUUGGGCUAAACAAGCAAUUAGCUAAAAUGACAUUGAUUAGUGCUUAAUGGUAUAGUAGUAUAAGUGUUUUGGUAACUGAAAUUUUCAAAAGCAACAUUCUUCUUUUUGAGCCUUUCUUUAAAUUCAUAUUUUAAAACUUUAUUUGUUGUCUUUCCUUGUUUGUCAUAAAAAAAAGUAGCCACAUUCAUUUUUGUAUAUACUCUUAUUGGAUUUCUCAUUCCAUUUUCUUACUUGUCUAAUAUUUGGAACAUAUUCGUACAACUAUGAUGUGGACUUAAGGUUGUUUUGGGUAUGAAAAGAUUGAACUCAGUUUUCAAACAUGCUAGAGUAUGUGCUUAUGAGUUUUCAUGGUGAUUUAAGGUUUAUAGGAAUGCUUAAAGACCAUAUGUGUUCUCUAUUGUAGAUUGUUGGGGAUUUGAUAGCCAAAAUUGUGCCUAUAAAGGACUGUUUUGGCCAACUUGUGUGACUGGUGUUGUUAGACAGUCAGGAGUACAUACAUUGCCUAUAGAUAACAUUUAAAUUAAUGGUUCCCUAAGUUAGUUAAGGUCUACAUGGUGUGUUGUGCAAAUUCUUGCUUAAAAAUCAAUAAAAAUAAGCUUUAUAGAACAAUGAACACUAAAUUAGUGAACCACCAUACUUGGACCCCAUACACAAGUUUUAAUAGUCAUAAUAGGACAUAAGAAAACUACACAAACUAAAGGAACCAAGCCUAAGCCAUUUUGAGCAUGAGACUUGUUAAAAAUCACAUUUUAAAGCCAAAAAUGGACUGUUUUGGACAAUUCAUAGUACCCGACCUUAAAGGACUAUUAUUAGCAGAUACAAAGUUGCUCAUACAUGCUAGUAAUGAUUCCCAAACAUGGUCAUUACGAAAGCCAACAAGAAAACAAAUUUAAGCUCUCUUUUCAAGCCUAAAGUGAGCUUAGAUAAGUUAAAAUGAGUUAGAUGAUUAACACUACAAGAAAAAGGCCUAACAGCGACCAAUAUUAUCAGCGACUGCAUGUCCGGUUGCUGAUAAUACUAAUAGCGACCAACAUCAGCGACCUUAAUGUAAUCUAGUCGCUGAUCAGUCGCUAACAUGAAUUUCCCUCCCAAAAAUUGGUGCCAAUAGUUGGCGCGUUGGUUUGUUGCGACCAAUAUAUAUCAGCGACUGCUAGCGGUAGCUAACUCAUCCACGUCAUUAAAAAUCAGUGACCGCAAGUGGUCGUUGAAGGCGGUUGCUGAUCGUCUAAAACUUAUCCAGACUCAGACAUUCGUUCUUUCAGCAGACGAGAGAAGAAAACGAGGGAGAACAGAAAAGGGAGAAGAGGGAGAAGGGGGAGAAGAGAAGAGGGAGAGAGAAAUUGAGCGCCGCCGCUCGCCGCCACUAUCCGCUGCCAUCGCCGCCGCCACAGGUAACCCUAAUUCUCUUUAUUUCUGAAUUGGAUAUAGAUUGGGUGUUAUUGAACUUUUUCCCCACUGCAUUUUUCUUCGAGUUUGGGUAUUCUACCUUAUUGGUAGUAUGUAAUUUAUUUCAUAUGCAUGCCACAUUGACAUAAUUGCUAACAAUGUGGUCAGAAAUUAUGUAAGAAGCAAUUUGGGUUUGGUUAGAAGUUCAAUUAAAUAAAAAUUAAUUGAGUUAAUUUGGUUGGUAUGCUUUAUACUCCAUUUUUGAUUGUAAAAUUGAAAAGUUGUGAACCACUUCAUAAUCUUAUUUAUGGUAUUGAAUCUAUGUAUUUAUUUAUUAUUGGAAUUCUAGGUGUAUGAAUGUAUAUUUGCCAUAUUUUCAUGCCAAUAUAAAAACAAUAGUGGUGUAAAUUUUGUGUUCUUUUAAAAUUCAGCAACAAUCUUUUCUCUUGUCUCUCCUCGACCUCUAAUAUUUAUAUGUACAAGAGAAUUGAUAUAUUUGGUAGGAACUGUCUCUUCAUUGAUAUGUAAAAUCAACAUCCAUCCAUAGUCAUACCACAAAACUUAUUUAAACUAUGUUUGUUUGCAAGAAUUAUAAUCUCAAUAUUAUUAAUCUUAGAAUUAUAAUCCCGAGAUUAUAAUUAGAAUGUCAAGAGUCUCAAGUUUAAAUUUGAAAAUAAACAAGACACUUAGUGUAAGACCCCGAAUUUUAUGAAAUAAAAGUAUUCAAUUUUCCUAUUUAGUAAAUGGUUAAAUUGAUAAAAAGCAAAGUUAAGGGUGAUAUAUGAAUUUUUUUUUCAAAAUAAGCAAGUGGCUAUAAAAUACUUAUUGUUGUCGGGGAAUAUUCGUUUGGUCGUGGAAUAUUCUUCUUGUCGGGAAUAUCCGUACGACGACGCAGUCAUUUGUGGGCCCCAUAACAGAAUAACUGUCAGAUGAAGAAAACGACAAGUUUGAGUUUUUAUAAAUAACGGCGUAAUGGUUACCGUUAACAUUGUUGGAUUACCUGGGGGUUAAAUUACAGUAAUACGCGUGGUUGCACAGUAGCACACGAUUUUGCACAGUAUUGAUGAAUUAUUGAUCCUUAUGUAAGAAGGCACUACUCAAUAAUUGUUACAGUAAUUACUGUUCAAUAUUUUAUUUUAUUGAAUCAAUAAUUGCUGCGUUGAUAUUUUAUAUUAUUGUUGUUUCAAUAAUUGUCACUGCACAGUAUCUCCAUUAUCAGAUCAAUAAUUCAUAUUAUUUGAAUAAUAUUAUUAGAUAGCAUUAUUGGCAAUGUCUAGAAAGUUCUGUCAAGGAGAGGUUUUGGUCACCUAAUUGCGCGCUAGUAAGGAGAAAUCCUUAUCGGAAAGCCCCCUCUUUCCUGGGAACUGCCUGGUUGUCAUUAUUGUGAUUCUGUAAUAUUAUUUGUAAAUAAUUAAUUAUUGAUUUAUAUGAUAAGGAAAUAUUUAUUUGAUGUGGAUAUAAAUGAUGGAUUUAUUUAUGUGGUUAUAAAUGAAGGAAUUAAUGUUGAGGUAUUUUAUCAGUAUUUUGUCGGAUUGGAGGUAUUAAAAGAUCAAAUCAGUGUUCUUACAGCUUUAUUGCGUGAGUUAUAAUUUUUAAUCUGACCGUUAGAUCGUUGUGAUUUUUGGAUAUGUUAUACAUAUAUAAGUUGAGUAUAUGUUCACAAAUUUUGAACUGUUAAAAAUGAACGAAUGAUUUGUUAUAAAUUUUAAGAGGUGACUAAUUCAGAAAUUAGGUUUAUAAAUGAUUUUGGUGAAAAAUUCUAGAAAUGGGUGUGCCCCACUUUUGGUUGUUGGGGAAGAUGACUGAUUUUUGGUGGGUGGAAUAGUAGCAGGUAAAGCCAUCAGGUAGCAGGUCAAGUUUGCUUCGACGUGCUAAUAUUUUCCUAUAAAUAGAGGGCUAAGUUAGAAUUAAAAAUCACACCAGAAUUCAUAAGUUUUCUCUCUUUUUCUCACAAGAUUAUCGAGUGUAUUUUGUGAGUAUUUAGAUACUUGGUGAGUUGUUAUUCAUCAGUGCAAGUUUCCUUCAGCGUCAUAUCUGACAUCUAGUCAGAAGUGCUGCUCUUUUGAGGUAAAUGAUAGUAAGGGAUAUUAAGGGAUGUUAUAUUCUUCAUAAUGAUGUUAUUCUUUCAAUAUCAUUAUACUGACAUAUUGGUAUGGAUCUUAUUGUGGAAUUUCUACCUUCUUGAGUCGGGGUUACUAUUCACGUAUACAUCACUAUUCACGUAUACGACACUAUUCAUGUAUAUGGCACUAUUUACGUUUAUGACAUUAUUUAUGUAUACGGUACUAUGUACGAAUACAGAGUACUAUUCACGAAUUACUAUUCAUGAGUUACUAUUCACGAGUUACUAUUCACAGGUACUAUUCACGAUUAAAAUUGGUUUCUUUUUCUGACCAAAUUAUCGUUGAUUUAUGAUUGUUGCUCUUGAAAUAAAUGCAGUUGUUGAUCAUAUUGUUUUUAUUAUCAUAUAUAACAUUUUUAUAACCCUGAUGUUGAAUUUCUCUUUCACUUGAGUGUAAAGAUGGGUAGAUUAUUGGUAUGAUCGUGACUAUGGGUUCUCUUUGGCCANNNNNNNNNNNNNNNNNNNNNNNNNNNNNNNNNNNNNNNNNNNNNNNNNNNNNNNNNNNNNNNNNNNNNNNNNNNNNNNNNNNNNNNNNNNNNNNNNNNNNNNNNNNNNNNNNNNNNNNNNNNNNNNNNNNNNNNNNNNNNNNNNNNNNNNNNNNNNNNNNNNNNNNNNNNNNNNNNNNNNNNNNNNNNNNNNNNNNNNNNNNNNNNNNNNNNNNNNNNNNNNNNNNNNNNNNNNNNNNNNNNNNNNNNNNNNNNNNNNNNNNNNNNNNNNNNNNNNNNNNNNNNNNNNNNNNNNNNNNNNNNNNNNNNNNNNNNNNNNNNNNNNNNNNNNNNNNNNNNNNNNNNNNNNNNNNNNNNNNNNNNNNNNNNNNNNNNNNNNNNNNUGGUCUAUAGCUGUUGAGGUUCUCCCUAAAUAGUAUAAAAAUAAUUUUAUUGAGACUUUAGAUAAGUGUGUCGUAUUAUAUACGUCAUUUGAUAUUUAAUUUUGGUGAACCGAAUAGGGUGAGGUGAACUCAACUUUGGAAGGGUGUUUUGCCACUAUCAUACAAGAUGUCUAAAGACAUACAACCUCGUGUUAUCAUAAGACAGGGUUGUGCUCAUCCACUUACUGAGAAAAUUAAAAGAAAAAAACAUUGUAGAAUUGAGGGCAAAUAUAACGAAGCAAAGCUAAGUAUUCCCUCUGUCUUGUACUUGAGGGCAAAUAUAACAACCAAAACCAUGUUCAUGUAUUUGAGUACCAUGUCAAGUCUACACUAUAGAAUUUUGUACAAAUGGUGGGCACAUGAGCAGAGAAGAGGGGGUGGCAUCAUAGAAGUACACAAUUCGGGCAGUAGUACUCAUCGUAUGAAUGAAAUGGUUCAUGAUAUUGCAGGGCCAGAUUUUGAUUGGGAACAAGGUAGAGAGCAACCUAUGAAUUCUGAUGCCAAAGACUUCUUUAAGUUGUUAGACGAAGGUAGCGAGCCACUGUGGCAUGGUUGCACCAAACACACUACAUUGUCUGCAGUGGAGACAUUACUUAACAUCAAGGCUGAUCACAACAUGAGUCAUGAGUGUUUUGAGUCGCUCUUGAAGGCCAUUAAGAGUAUGUUGCCUGACGGUGAGAAAUUGCCUGGUAACUAUUACUUUUGUAAAAAAAUGGUGAAGAAGUUGGGUCUUGGAUACCAAAAGAUCGAUGCAUGUCCCAACGAUUGCAUGUUGUUUUAUAAGGAAAAUUUGCACGUUUUGCAGUCAUGAUCGGUUUAGGCCUAAUAAAGAGGGUGUGACUACAAAAAAAUCAAGUAUACCGUUUAAGAUUCCAAGGUAUUUUCCAAUAACACAUCGGCUAAAAAGAUUGUACAUGUCUUCAAGAACAGCUGAACAUAUAAGUUGGCAUGCGAAAUCUCCAGCUAAAGAUGGAGAACUAAAUCAUCCCGCAGAUGGGCAGGCUUGGAAAGAUUUCAACUUAUCACAUCCUGAGUUUGCAUUGGAACCUAAAAAUGUGAGGCUUGGAUUGUCCAUCGAUGGUUUCAAUUCGUUUGACCACUCAGCUGUUCCGUACUCAUGUUGGCCUGUGAUUGUUACUCCGUACAACUUGCCUCCUUGGAUGUGUAUGAAACAGCCAUACUUGUUUCUUUCACUCGUGGUUCCUGGUCCUAAGAGUCCUGGAAAGAACUUAGAUGUUUACUUGAGACCUCUUAUAGACGAGUUGAAGGUAUUGUGGGAGGAUGGAGUACAGACUUGGGAUGUUACAACGAAAACAAAUUUCAACCUUAGGGCAGCGGUUAUGUGGACUAUAAGUGACUUCCCAACUUAUGGUAUGUUAGCUGGAUGGAGUACACACGGGAAGUUGGCUUGUCCGUAUUGUUUGGAGCAUACAAAGUCGUUUAAUCUAUCAAAAGGUCGAAAGCCUUGUUGGUUUGACUGACAUCGUCGGUUCUUGCCGGUAGAUCACCCGUUUCGAAGAAAUAGAGAAUACUUCAGGAAAGGGAAAGUAGACAAUGAUAUGCCUGCACCGCGAUUAUCGGGAACGGAGAUGCGAGAUCGUGUGAUGAGAUUGCCGGUUAUCCCAUUUGGUAAGAUUGAUGCCACAAACAUAAUCAAUGGGUUUGGCGAAUCUCAUAACUGGGUUCUGAGAAGCAUCUUUUGGGAACUGCCUUAUUGGUCUACAAAUUUGAUUCAUCAUAAUCUAGAUGUGAUGCAUAUUAAGAAGAAUGUGUUUGACAAUGUGUUUAACACUGUGAUAAAUGUUAUAGGGAAGACAAAAGAAAACGAUAAGGCACGUAUGGACAUGAAAGAUAUUUGUAAGCGUCCUGGAUUAGAACUUUAUGAAUCUCCUAAUGGUAAGAUUGUCAAACCGCAUGCAAGGUACACAUUAUCCAAAAAACAAGUUGAAGAUGUGUGCACAUGGAUUAAGUCUCUAAAACUACCAGAUGGAUAUGCGUCAAACAUUGCAAGGUGUGUUAUGGGUGGGAAAUUGCAAGGGAUGAAGAGUCAUGACUGCAUGUGUUCAUGGAGAGAUUCAUGCCUAUAGCAUUUCGGGAUCUGCUUGAUAAACCAAUAUGGGAUGCUUUGACGGAUCUUAGUCGUUUCUUCGAAGACUUAUGUUCAAAAUCAUUAAAUGAGAAGGGCAUGUCUGUACUUGAGAAGAACAUCAAAGAGAUCACGUGUAAACUGGAAAAAAUAUUCCCACCUGGUUUUUUUGACUCCAUGGAGCAUUUGCAAAUCCAUCUUCCCUAUGAAGCUCGUGUUGGGGGUCCAGUUCAAUAUAGAUGGAUGUACCCUUUCGAGAGGGUGAUGGGUAACCUUAAGAGGAAGGUGAAGAAUAGAGCUUAUGUCGAGGGAUCGAUAUGUGAGGCAUACAGUUUCGAUGAGAUAUCUACGUUUGUCUCAAACCAUUUUCCGGACGAAGUCUUGACAAAGGCCAAUCGAGUAUCGAGACAUGAUGAUGGGAGAAAUGUUGAACUAAAUGGUCGGCUCUCUGUAUUUGGUCUAUCGGACCGCGCUUAUGGAAAAGGGAAGCGCAUAUUCCUCUCUAAGCAAGAAUUACAUGCUGCACAUACUUACAUUCUUCUCAAUUGCGAGGAGAUUGACAAAUUUGUGAGGUACACAUGUAACGUGAUAAUUUAUCUUUUAAGUUGAAAAUUUAUUCCAAUAUGUUAAUGUUUAUAAAAUGGUAUAGAUUGUACGAUGACGAGUUAAAAGUGAAGCAUCCCGGCAUAACUGAUAAAGAUAUUCAAAUCAAUNNNNNNNNNNNNNNNNNNNNNNNNNNNNNNNNNNNNNNNNNNNNNNNNNNNNNNNNNNNNNNNNNNNNNNNNNNNNNNNNNNNNNNNNNNNNNNNNNNNNNNNNNNNNNNNNNNNNNNNNNNNNNNNNNNNNNNNNNNNNNNNNNNNNNNNNNNNNNNNNNNNNNNNNNNNNNNNNNNNNNUUUGUUUUACCAACUCAAACAGUACAAGUAUACUACACUCCUAGUCCUGUUACGAAAAAGGAUAGACCGCCUACAGAUUGGCAAGUUGUAAUUCAUACUCCCACGCGUAGUCGUGUAGAAGUAGUUGAUGAGGAGAUUUAACAAGAGCAGAUGCUUCAUAGUCAAACUAUAAUAAAUGUGGAGGACGACAAUGAAGUAAUCCAGUUAGAUGGUGGAGAUGAACCACAUGAAUUAGAUCCUGACUCAAUACUUGUGUCAGAUGACAUUGAUACUGAGGAGGAAGAGUUAUUGACUGAAUCUGACACUGAAUCUGAAGCAGAUGAUGGUUAUGAAUUUGCAACACGUAUACAAGAUGAUUCUGAAUCAGACAUUGACACUUGAACAAAUGAAAUGUAUGUUUAGCAUUAUAUGUUUUUUAUAUCAUUGUCAUGUUUAUGUACUAAACUAUUUAAAUGCAACUUUUGUUUAUUGAAAUUUUAUAUUCAUAUACAUGUUUAUAUCACUGUCAUGUUUAUUGUCAUAUAUACAUCUUGAAAUUUGUAAUAUAUAGAUGGCUUCUGAAGCAGCGCAGAAAAAGCGCGGCAUGGGUAGGGGGCCUAAUCAUGUGCCCAAGGUCCCUACUAAUCUGGAUGAUCGGAUUCUUAUUCAGAUUCGCCCUCCUCCGAAUAACACGUACGUCCCGCAUAUAUAUAUCAUUUAUAUAUAAGCAUUUAAGAUUCCAUUUAUACAAUAUAUAUAGAACUUAGAUGUAAAUUGCUUUAAUAUAUCUACUUAUCGUUGAUGUAAAUUGUUGUAUAUUAUAGUGAUUUUUCAGAUAAUAAGAUCGUAAAGUGCAUAUCACAGCUGUGUUUACAGAAUUAGCCUACACCUGUGAUUACGUGGGCGAGCACACCUAUCGCCCACAAGGAUGCUGUUUGGGCUGAAUUUCAGGUAUAUUUUUUUUAAUUAUGACAUAUAAUAUAAUAUUCAAAGGAUAAUUGUUUAGUAAUGUUAUUAUUGUUGUUUUAUUUGCAGAAACGAUAUAGAUGAGAGGACGCGCAGGCUUCAGUGAUACAGACAUUAUUCUGGCAGAAGUGCGCGGUCCGCACCAAAGACAAUUUGAACAAAGAAAGACAAAAAGCCCUUCACAAUGCCGAGAUCGACCAUCCAGGCCAAGGAGAGGAUCAUAUGCACGAGCAUAGCCCCUGGUGGUGCACCCAGUCCAUAUGGGCUGAGAUGUGUGCCCAAUGGAGAGCUGAGAGCUGGGUGAAAAGACGAAAGACUGCCUCCACCAAUAGAUCCUCGGGUGUACCCGAUGGCGAAAAGGCUAAAGGGACAUACAAGGGCGACAGUAUUUCACAGUUGCAGCAUAUCACUGCCAGGGUACGUAUUUACAAGUUUUAAUAUGUUUACAAUCAUGAAUUGUAGAAAAUAUAUCACAUUUUUACUUAGUAAUAUUGUGCUAUUUUUUGUAUAGGAGUCUCAGUCCCAAAGUACACCUAUCCAUUGGCUGGAUGUGUACGUGACCACCCGUGAUGGUCUGCCUGAUACUAUCCAGAUAGCGGUAAUAAGUUUUAACAACUUGAUCUUGUUUAUCAAUGCUUACAUAAUUUAUUUUUAACUAUUUAAUUGUUAACAUGAUGACAGGAUACUUAUAAACGUUUAUUGAAUGAGCGCUAUCCUGAAGGCACUCCACGUCCGCCUAUUGAUCAAGAGUUGUGGGAGAGGACGUCUGUUGUGAAGAAGAACUAUAUUAAAGGUCAAGGACAACGACGACGCCCAUCCUUCAGUGGCUCAGGCUGCUUUUCUACCCAGUCUACACAAUCAUCGAGCCAUCCAGCUGUUCAUACUCCAGCUGACUGUGUGAGAGCUAUAUGUCGAGAUCGAGAUCUUCUGACGAUACUAGGCGGGCAUCUGGGGGCUCUGGAUCCUGAGGAGUUAGCUAAAGCAGUAGCGACAGCAGCAUCACAACAUGGGGAUGGCGACGAGGUAUAAAAUCAAUUUGUUGUAUAUAUUAUCGUAAUAUACCAAUAUUAACAUAGUUAAUAUAUAUUUGUAACUUGUUUUAUUAUUUUGUUAAUUACAGGGUGAUCAAGGAGGCGAUGAUGCUUGACGUACCUGCUUUAGAUCAAUUUUAUAGUUAUAGUAUAAGCUUGUACUUGUAUAUUCAUUCUUUGGAUGUCUGUAUGUUACUUAAACAAGUUUUGAAAUGUUAUUAUAUUUAUUCAAUUCAUAUUGGGUUCUAAAUGUUUUAAUACUAGUUUGGUGUAUGUUGGUGGAUGAUGGAUGUUUAUAUUGUUGUGAAUGUUGUUUAUAUUGUUGUGAUUGUGUGUUGGGAUAAAGCAGGUACAAAACAGGUACAUGUUUUUGGGAAUUCUGCAAAACAGCAAAAAUCUGGUUUACAUUCUGUUCAUAUCAGCGACCGCAUGCGGUCGCUGAUAGUUAAUAGUCACGGCUUAACAUUUGAGGGUAUCAGCGACCGAAUUCGGUCGCUGCCACGUGGACCACGUCAGCUUUGGUCAUGGACUAUGCUGACUCAGCUUAGCGACCGACUUUAUCAUUUCGGUUGUUCACAUCGGUCGCGGAUACGGCGGUCGCUAAUAGUGGUCGCUGAUGUACAUCCCAGCGACUAGAUUUUAUGCGACGACUACCAGCGACCGGAUUCGGUCGCGGAUGCCUAUCUGCGACCGGACGCGGUCGCUGAAAGGCGGUCGCUGAUAAACCUUUUUCUGGUAGUGUAAAUAAAGUGUGGUGAUGCUAAAAGUAACCUUACGUAACUUAAAUAUACAUGCCUAGACUAUCCUAGUGGCCAGAACUGGAAAAAUUUGGAAAAAGUACAAAAUCAGUUUUGUAAAAAAAAAGUAAGAAAAUAGCUAAGUUUGAGCUCUAUUUUGGGGAGCUUAAUGGGCAUAAACAAGAAACCUAAACCUUGAAUAAAAUACCUUGUCGUAUGGUCUAGAAGUAGGGACAAGUGGUUAAACCCUUGGCUUAACCAAGGAGUUUAAAUAAAUCACCAAACUAGCAUGGAAAAUCACUAAAACUGUAGUUUUGCAAAUUUGUCUAAGUAUAAAAAUUUGAAAAUUUUCUAUUCUACUUAGAACUCAAUUUGGACACCUUAGACAAGUCAGUUAGGGUUAUGCUAGGCUAUUCCAAGUGUUGGAAUGCUAACAUAUACAAGAACUUGAGAAGUUAGUGUGUAAAAGCUUGAAAAAGCUUGGUUUAGAGGGUCAAAACUCAAUCUAUGUUUAACAAACCUAAAGGAAUGCUAAAACUAGUUCUAAAUAGAUUUAAUUCAAGUGUUGGAAUGAACCAAAGUGGCUAGAAGUGAAAUUGUCAAGAAGUGAACAAAAUUAGUAAUCUCAAAAUGUGAAUAAUGGCCUAGUUUAGACGAAAGAUGAUAAGAUUUCUCUAUAAGGAUAUGAUUAUAAAUAUACGAAAGAUGAAAAUGAGAAGAUUUUCUCUGUAAGGAUUCCGCAUUCUUUCGUUAACAUCAAGUAUGCUUAAAUGUUAAUCAUAUGCUUACAAGUAUACUCAAGUCAUAUGAUUACAAGUAUGCUCUCAAGUCAUAUGCUUACAAGUAUGCUUAAAUGUCAUUCAUAUGCUUACAAGUAUGCUCAAGUCAUAUGGUUACAAGUAUGUUCAACUCAUAUGCUUACAAGUAUGCUUAAAUGUUAAUCAUAUGCAUGCUUACAAGUAUGCUCAAGUUAUAUGGUUACAAGUAUACUCAAGUCAUAUGUUAACAUUUAUAAUGUUGUCUGUAGUAGGUACCGUGGAAUCAUGGACCUCUAUUCAGACGUAAAUUGCUUUAAUAUAUCUCUUAUUGUAUAUAAAAUUUGUAUAUUUCUCUUGGUUUGUGUCUUGGGUGCCUAGAAAUGUCCAUAUAUGCAUGCCGUCGUGCAUGUGGCUAGUCUAUAUUGUAGGGGAGACUCUGGCGAAUUUUUUUUAAGUAUUGUAAGUAUAAAUUUGAAAAAUGUUCAUAAGUAUUAUAACUUAGAUGUAAAUUGCUUUAAUAUAUACUUAUCGUUGAUGUAAAUUGUUGUAUAUUAUAGUGAUUUUUCAGAUAAUAAGAUCGUAAAGUGCAUAUCACAGCUGUGUUUACAGAAUUGGCAUACACCUGUGAUUACGUGGGCGAGCACACCUAUCGCCCACAAGGAUGCUGUUUCGGCUGAAUUUCAGGUAUGUUUUUUUUAAUUAUGACAGAUAAUAUAAUAUUCAAAGGAUAAUUGUUUAGUAAUGUUAUUAUUGUUGUUUUAUUUGCAGAAACGAUAUAAAUGGGAGGACGCGCAGGCUUCAGUGAUACAGACAUUAUUCUGGCAGAAGUGCGCGGUCCGCACCAAAGACAAUUUAAACAAAGAAAGACAAAAAGCCCUUCACAAUGCCAAGAUCGACCAACCAGGUCAGGGAGAGGAUUACAUGUACGAGCAUAGCCCCUGGUGGUGCACCCAGUCCAUAUGGGCUGAGAUGUGUGCCCAAUGGAGAGCUGAGAACUGGGUGAAAAGACGAAAGACUGCCGCCACUAACAGAUCCUCGGGUGUACUCGAUGGCGAAAAGGCUAAAGGGACAUACAAGGGGGGGCAGUAUUUCACAGUUGCAGCAUAUCACUGCCAGGGUACGUAUUUACAAGUUUUAAUUUGUUUACAAUCAUGAAUUGUAGAAAAUAUAACACAUUUUUACUUAGUAAUAUUGUGUUAUUUUUUGUAUAGGAGUCUCAGUCUCAAGGUCAGCCUAUCCAUUGGCUGGAUGUGUACGUGGCCACCCGUGAUGGUCUGCCUGAUGCUAGCCAGAUAACGGUAAUAAAUUUUAACACCUUGAUCUUGUUUAUCAAUGCUUACAGAAUUAAUUUAUUUUUAACUAUUUAAUUGUUAACAUGAUGACAUGAUACUUAUAAGCGUUUAUUGAAUGAGCGCUAUCCUGAAGGCAUUCCACGUCCGCCUAUUGAUCAAGAGUUGUGGGAGAGGGCGUCUGUUGUGAAGAAGAACUAUAUUAAAGGUCAAGGACAACGACGACGCCCAUCCUUCAGUGGCUCAGGCUGUUCUUCUACCCAGUCUACACAGUCAUCGAGCCAUCCAGUUGUUCAUACUUCGGCUGACUGUGUGAGAGCUAUAUGUCGAGAUCGAGAUCGAGAUCUUCUGAUGAUACUGGGCGGGCAUCUGGGGGUUCUGGAUCCUGAGGAUUUAGCUAAAGCAGUAGCGGCAGCAGCAGCAUCACAACAUGGGGAUGGCAACGAGGUAUAAAAUCAAUUUGUUGUAUAUAUUAUCGUAAUAUACCAAUAUUAACAUAGUUAGUAUAUAUUUGUAACUUGUUUUAUUAUUUUGUUAAUUACAGGGUGAUCAAGGAGGCGAUGAUGCUUGACGUACCUGCUUUAUAUCAGUUUUGUAGUUAUAGUAUAAGAUUGUACUAUUAUUCUGUGUUUGGAUGUAUGUAUGUUACUUAAACAAAUUUUAAAAUGUUAUUAUUGCAUGUGUAUGUUCAUAACUUGUAUAUUCAGUUAUGUUACUUAAACUAGUUUUGAAACUAGUUUUAUGUAUGUGUUGGUGGACGAUGGAUGUUUAUAUUGUUGUGUAUGCUGUUUAUCUUGUUGUGUAUGUGUAUUGGGAUGAAGCAAGUACAAAACAGGUACAGGUUUUUGGGAAUUCUGCAAAAUAGUAAAAAAUUGGUUUUUUAUUUUUUUCAUAUCAGCGACAGCAUGCGGUCGCUGAUAAGUAUUAGCAACUGCUGACAUUUUGAGGGUAUCAGCGACUGCAUGCGGUCGCUGAUAGUGGUCGCUGACACGUGGACCACAUCAGCUUUGGCCCUGGACCAUGCUGACUCAGCUUAGCGACCGAAUUUGUCAUUUCGGUUCCUCAUAUCGGUCGCCGAUCUGGCGGUCGCUAAUAGUGGUCGCUGAUGAGCAUCUCAGCGACUAGAUUUUGUGCGACGACUAUCAGCGACUGCACUCGGUCGUUAAUAGCUGGUCGUUGAUAAACUUUUUUCUUGUAGUGGCUCUAGCUAGCGUCUGUGUCCGAGAGCCCCCGUGGGACCGUCACAUACGGGCGCUGGCUUAGACGAUGCGUUGUUCCAGCGUGUUAUGGCUACAGUGUCGGAGAGGUUUGAGACCGAUCCGCUGUCCCAUCGACAGGACCUGCCCAGCCGUUCUCGCCUCCAUCAGCUUGCGCAGGAUGUUGCAGCUGGUGCCACCGCCGAGAGUACGGGUAUCCCUUCGAAGCAGUGGGCCGCGAUAUGCGACGAGAUUGUUCGGAUGGUGGUUACCUUAGUCGAGGACGCGUUUGGGCCGAUGUUGAGUCAGCCCUCGACUGCUCAGGUAUACUAUUCGUUUUAAAUUCAAAUAUAUAUUAUGCAUGUAAUUUAAUUUUCAUUUAGUUAUCUUUAACUGAAUCAUAUAUAUGGACUAAUGAGUUGCAUUAUAUUGUAUCAACAGGGUGACGAGCGGACUAACGAGCGGGAUGACGAUGGUGGCGAUUUUCAUACUCCAGAGCAGCGUCGACGCCCGCCCGAUGAUCCUCCUCAUACCGGGGGCUCUACUAGUUUUACUUAGUUUACAUUCGUUUAAUUUGUAGUUUACAUUAUUUUUGAUGUAUUGUAGUUUAAACCUUGGCAUUUAGUUUAAUUUAGCUUAAUUAGAUGUUUGAUAUACAUUAGUUUAGAUUAAUGGGAUGUUUUUGACCUUUUUACUUAUCAUUUAGUUGGCCUUGGUAAUUGUAAUUCGUGUUAUUGGUUAUAUUGUUAGCUUGUGUAUGUGUAUGUGCUGUUGGAAUACAGGUACAGGUACAAGAUGUGGGUUAAAUCCCUGGAUAUUGCAAAAACAAAUAAAAUAUUAAAAAAAAAUCACUAUUCUCGACGGAAUAGUACUAUUAUCGACGGCAUUCCGUCGGAAAUAAGAACUUCCCUAUUUUUGUCAUGCUGCCACGUGUCAUGCUUAUCACCGACCGAAUACUAUCGACCGAAUAUUUUCAGUCGGACAUAUAGUACCCUCGACCGAAUAUUCAGUCGAUGAUAAGUCCGUCGAGGUUAAGUAUCCUCGACCGAAAGAUCGACGAACUUUAUUUCGACCUGCUUAUAUACAACCGAAUUUUCGACCGAACAUUCCGUUGGAAAUAAGAUUAGCCUCGACGGAAUAUGCUUAUUACCGACGGACGAUUCCGUCGGAAAUAACCCUUUUUGUUGUAGGGUAUUUAGUCUUAAAUUUAUUUUCUAGCUCCAGCAGGUAGACUAAAUAUAGUCUGUGACUAUAUUUGAAGCACCAACAAAACAAAAUCUAGAAACUUGAUAGUUCAUGGACUAUAAUUUUAAUUAUAUUUAAAUGGGAGAGUGGAAGGAGAUUGGAGCUUUUUUAAAUUCAUAAAUUAUUUUAAUCUUUUUAUAUUAUAGUUCACGGGAUAGUCCAUCUACUGGAAAGAUGGAAGACUAAAAGAUAUUUGUUGAUGUCAUAUGAACUAAAUAUAGUCCAUCAAAUAGACCACUAAGCUAUGUUUGACAACAAAGUUUUAAAAUUAGAGUUGAAAGCAUAUUUGCAAUUCCAAAUAAUUAUAAUUCUAGCUAAAAUAAAUAGCUCAAUUCCAGUUCCAAAGCUUAAGAAAAACAAACCAUGAGCAAAAUAUCCAAAAUAAAAACCCUAUUGCAGAAAGAAUAUCUUAUAUACUUGGAUCCCACAAUUUCUAGCUUAAUCCAAUAAAAUAAAAGAAGGGAAAAAAUCACUGAUAAAUAUUUCAAGGGAAAUUGAAGAGAACGAAAUUCACCUGAGCUUUUCAAUUUGCUUAUGCAUCUUUCUUUUGGCGGCUCAGCGUCAAAUCAACCUACACAACAGAUAAUAUGAUUACAUCAAAAUCUAUACAUGAAUAAAUACAUAACAAACAAUCCAUAAAUAUAUUUAUUAGAAAUCAAAAACCUGAUCUUGAGAAACACGAGAGAAAUCAAGAAGAUGUUGCUAGAGGAAGGAGUAGUUGAAUUAUCAGAGAAAUCCAUGACCCAUCUUCGUCCCGCCACCGACGAACAGACCAAUGAAGAUGGAGUCACCGAUGAGCAGGUAAAGAAGGGGAGGGAAAAAUUCGGGCUGAAAUUAAAAUUGCAUAUAAAAAUUCGCCUUUGCCAUCGAGCCUAGGGCUUGUAAAUUAAAAAGUCUUUCUCGAAGAAUAGCCCUAUUGAGAUUAAUUUAAAA